Molecule: long non-coding RNA, 1601 nt
Organism: Neofelis nebulosa (Clouded leopard)
Lineage: Eukaryota; Metazoa; Chordata; Mammalia; Carnivora; Felidae
Exons: 2
Source: RefSeq, a predicted model, not a curated record
GCCGCACCUACACAGCCGUUCCCGGGCCUGGCUCUGAGCACUGAAGCGAACCCAGGCGUCCAUGACAGCGGCAGUCCCGGCUCCGCAGCCCCGCGCCCGCCCCACUUCCCGCCCCUAGUCACGCCUCCUGGACGAACCAACGGUCGCUCGCGAGGGACAAACAUCCUCCGAAAAGAGAGUGAGUGGGGCCGGCCUCGGAAGCGGAAUUUCAGAACGGGAAGCGUUUGGCCUGGGCCAACACCUGCCGUGUUUUUGUGUGUGUCUCCAUCAGAGGGUACUUUUACCAGGUGGCCUCUGUUUCCUAAGCAUGUCUCAGGCGGCACAUUCUUCUUUAAAUAAUCUGGACCAGGGGCGGGGCUUGCAGGAGUAGGGGCGGGGCGAGAAGGCGCAGAUGCCAGGUCGCCUCGGCGGCUGGGAUAGGGUUGCCCCUCCCCGGGGAUGCUUCCAAAACACCCCAGCGCGCGCGCGCACACACACACACACACACACACACACACACGCGCGCGCGCGCGCGCGCGCGCUGCGGCCAAAUCCAGGGCUCUAGAGGCUGAAGAAGUCUAUGGGAGUAGAAGCUAGCACCAGAUCCCUGCUCCCCGCAGGACCCUGACGGUUGGGCCGGUGACCUCCAGAAUACAGAUGGAGAGUCUCCAGGGACAGAGGCUUUAGUGGACGAAAUUCGCACUAACCAGCUAACCCCUCCUAAUAAGAAGGGCGAAGACUCAGUGGACGAAGCUAACCUCUUCAUACUCACCCUCCAUCCCCUCACCCCUUUCCCUUCCAGAUCACCAUGUCUAUAGGCAAGGCACCCCUGGGGGUUAGCUGCGGAGGAGGAGGUCUGGGCGGGAUCAGUAGAGGUGGUGGGAUCAGAACUCCUCACCUUCUCAGCUGCAGCCAAGGUCCGAGUGGGACUGACCAUUGUACUGUUUCUUUGGCUGUAGGGAACCUGACCAUGCUGUGGUCAGUGACUCGGCCACGACCCAGCCAACUCCAUCCUUCCCCUGUGCGGCAACUCUUUGCCCAAUUAGCAGCUGCUGACUUAACUAGUCACCUUUGUGGCCCCUAGAUGCCAGUUGGAAUAUCACUGUUCAAUGGUUGGCCGGGGACAUUGUGUGUCGGACACUCAUGUUCCUGAAACUAAUGGCCAUGUAUGCUGCAGCCUUCCUGCCUGUGGUCAUUGGACUCCACCGCCAGGAAGCAGUACUCCACUCGCAUGGACCCCGCUCAGCUGGAAGGAAACUUCUGGAGACAGCCUGAGGACUUAGCUUCCUGCUUGCCUUGCCCCAGCUGUUCCUGUUCCACACCGUCCGCCAAGCUGGCCCAGUCUCCUAUAUCCAGUGUGUCACCAAAGGCAGUUUCAAGGCUCGAUGGCAAGAGACCACCAAUAACCUCUUCACCUUCUGUUGCCUCUUUCUGCUGCCAUGGACUGCCAUGACUGUCUGCUAUACCUGCACCGUCCUCAGUGGGUCCAGUUCCCCGACUAGGAAGGGGGACCAUGGUGAGACUCCAAUCCCCGGGCCCUAAUCCAUACCUUAAAACUAUGGCCUCUAGCCUCACUUACUGAUCUGAUAGCUGUGACCACCAAAAGUAACUUCAUAACCAUA